GUGGGUGUAGCUCAGCUGGUUAGAGCGCCAGGUUGUGGCCCUGGAGGUCGUGGGUUCGAAUCCCAUCACUCACCCCA
This 77-nucleotide transfer RNA is filed under the name Bacillota bacterium. Its description in RNAcentral is "Firmicutes bacterium (anaerobic digester metagenome) tRNA-His". It matches the Rfam family "tRNA". Rfam says of the family: Transfer RNA (tRNA) molecules are approximately 80 nucleotides in length. Their secondary structure includes four short double-helical elements and three loops (D, anti-codon, and T loops). Further hydrogen bonds mediate the characteristic L-shaped molecular structure. tRNAs have two regions of fundamental functional importance: the anti-codon, which is responsible for specific mRNA codon recognition, and the 3' end, to which the tRNAs corresponding amino acid is attached (by aminoacyl-tRNA synthetases). tRNAs cope with the degeneracy of the genetic code in two manners: having more than one tRNA (with a specific anti-codon) for a particular amino acid; and 'wobble' base-pairing, i.e. permitting non-standard base-pairing at the 3rd anti-codon position. Lineage: Bacteria; Bacillati; Bacillota. RNAcentral also lists the same sequence under 1 other name. The record is from RNAcentral.